AGUUUUCUCUUUGAAGCAAAGCUGAGAUGGACAUAUUAUGAUCUCUAUAAAACUAUAAAAACUCACUUGUGCAUUGCUAUGUUCCAAGGUAAUAUGAUCACUGACACCAAAAUGAUUAAGGUCUUUUGACAUGUAUAGUGUCUCCUAUGCCACUAAUUAGGCCAUGGUAAAGCUAAUAAAGUAAAGAAAUAUAAUCAUUCGAUCUGACUGGUGUGGUACACCAGGACAUGCUGAGUACCUUCCAGGAUGAAAUAAAGUGAAAUCAUUUGUAAAUUUGAAGUAAACCAUCUGUUGACUAGCAUGUACGUUAGUAGUUAUUGUCUGGGUCACAACGACCUAGGUGUACUUAAGAAAAGGAAGAUGAGAGGACUGUUAGAAGUAAAAAAUAUCACCAGUUCAGGUCCAUCUAAAGAUGUAACAAACAUGAGGUAACUGUGGGCGUGAAUAUGUCCAACUGACACCGCAAAAAAAAAGUUUAUAAGAAGAGAGUCAUAUGAAACUUGGAUUUAGUUGUCUAUUCGACUAUCGCCGGUGGUCAGUUGAUGUGUCUGAGGCAGCUCGGUUUGUUUUUAAAAUGUAACAAAUAAAUCUGCAUGGAGUGAAUAUCAACAGUCUCUGGAGUCUUCAUGGUGUCCUCACAUAGAAAUAAAAUGGAUAGAAAGGCC
Long non-coding RNA from Perca fluviatilis (European perch), 665 nucleotides. RefSeq lists it as uncharacterized. The transcript has 2 exons. The record is from RefSeq and is a predicted model, not a curated record. NCBI's taxonomy places the organism in Eukaryota, Metazoa, Chordata, Actinopteri, Perciformes, Percidae.